UACGGGGGGGGCAAGCGUUGUUCGGAAUUACUGGGCGUAAAGGGCUCGUAGGCGGCCAACUAAGUCAGACGUGAAAUCCCUAGGCUCAACCUAGGAACUGCGUCUGAUACUGGAUGGCUUGAAUCCGGGAGAGGGAUGCAGAAUUCCAGGUGUAGCGGUGAAGUGCGCAGAUAUCAGGAAGAACACCCGUGGCGAAAGCGGCUCUCUGGAACGGUACUGACGCUGAGACGCGAAAGCGUGGGGAGCGAACGGG
Molecule: ribosomal RNA, 253 nt
Filed under: uncultured bacterium
Lineage: Bacteria
Description: partial 16S ribosomal RNA
Rfam family: Bacterial small subunit ribosomal RNA
Source: RNAcentral